GGGAAUUUUAAAAAGAAGGAGAAAUCAGAGGAAGCCUUGCCAUGUGUGGGCUGUACCCCAGGUGAUCCCACUGAGAUCAGGACAUCGCUGUACAUUUAUCUGAUACCCCAUCUCUCAGGGGUAUCACAGACUCUUUGAGGGGGUGCAGUAACAUACAAACAAACGAGAACUUACCUUAACUUCCAGCACACCCUACAAACUAGAACAUCUCUUAGUUCUCAACACACACUACAUACUCGGUCGUCUUAGAGCAGCUAUCCAAGUGCAGAUACUGCGGUUGCCCAGUAUAAAGGGAGGACAUGAUUGUUCUAAGAUGAGUGGACGCCUCCCCUAUCUUCAGUGACCAAGCCAGUGCUCCAAUAAAAAGCAAAAUGAUCUAAAAUAGUGGCUCUCAACCUUCCUAAUACUGUGACCCUUGAUGCAGUUCCUCGUGUUGUGGUUGACAGCCCCCAAGUAUAAAGUUAUUUUCAUUCCUACUUCAGAACUGCAAUUUUUGCCACUGUUUUGAAACGUAAUGUAAACAUCUGAUAUAUAGAUGGUCUUAGGGGAUCCCUGUGAAGGGAUUGUUCAAUACCCCAUCCCCCCAACAGGGACCACAACCCACAGGCUGAGAACCACUGAUCUACAGCUGACACAGGACAGGACUGUCAGAGUCUUAUGAAAACAAACUCAAGCACACUGACUGACUUCAGCAGAUUAGAGCCAUCAUCAAGCCCUCUUUUUUAUAGUAGGCUAUUUAACUAUAACUAUGCCAUCUCAUGAUAGUAUUCUAUGAAUACUUUAGGUGUUAAACCUAUCUUGGAUAAAACUGGUCUCUGACCACUUAGACCAGCCCUAAAUUCCCAUACAAUGGUGACCCUGAGCUAAAAUGUCAACUACCUGGCCAUUCGACUACUAUCUCUCUGCUUCUGUGCAAUUUGUGCUUGCUGUGGAUGUCCAGAGCUGCCUUUCUGUAUAUGCCACAGUUGCAGUUUUCCCCCUUAAAAACUAGAGCCAACUAGAGGUCAAGGCUGUUUGCCACAACAAUCCUCUUGGGACAGUCCCACUGGUGGUUAAUAAAGACUCCAUUCCACU
This 1074-nucleotide long non-coding RNA is filed under the name Mus pahari (shrew mouse). RNAcentral's name for it is "lncRNA (MGP_PahariEiJ_G0006456.1)". The record is from RNAcentral. Lineage: Eukaryota; Metazoa; Chordata; Mammalia; Rodentia; Muridae.